AUGAGAGCUGCUGGCACUGCAUGGAUUCCAAAGCACAGGUGGGAGAGCCCUGAGCCCAUUUUGGGGUGCCUGAGCAGGGUCAGGUCUCCCCCGGGUCCCCAAAAGGUCAGAGCACUGCGAUGCUCCAGUUUUUUGUUGGAGGAAUUUGGUUUGUUCAAGGAAUUUGAGCCUGUGAAGGUUUGGGAGGAGGUUCCAAAGAGGGGAAGCAGAGGAGGGGACUGCUCUGCUGAGCCCUCCAAUCCCGCUAGCACUGCCUUUCCCUCCUCCCUCAACAGCUUCUAUCACGACAGCACUCAGCCCCCGGUGAUUUAUUCCAGUCUUGGCACCGAGUCCAAAGUGCUGGAACCCAUCCCCGAAAUUCUGGUAAGCGCUGUGCAUCCCCUUCCCGAGGUGUUCCCAGCAGUGGGAGGGCUGGAGGAGCUCCUGACACUCCACACUCUGCUCCCUGCCUGUCCUACUCCUUCUCUCACCAGGGUGGCAGAACAAUCCUACCUGAAAGGUAAAAUCCUGCUCGACUCUCCAGGAAUGAGCCACUGGAGUGGGACAAGCCAAGGACUCACAUGGGGUGUCCCCAGGUACCCCCAAGCCCUGUCCCUCAUUGGGGCUGCAGGUGCAUCAGGCAAAGCCAGAGGCUCUUGGGCUUUUCCAAAUAUUUGCACCAGCAUCAUCCCCUCCAGAGGGGAGGUGACAAACUGGGAGAAAACAGCUGACACCUGCCAAGCUUGUGUCAGCGCAGGAGCUGAACCCUCACCCUCUGCAGCCCCACAACCCAGCCAAGGGGGCAUAGAAGGGUUUAUUCAGACAUGGGAUGGUUUUGUGGGACCCUGGCAUCACAGAUGGUCCCAUCCCUGCCCCCUGCAUGGCCCCAGCCCUGCCAGGACCCUGCACAGGGCAGGGUCUGUCCUGUGGUUGCCUCUUCCCGCAGCUCUGGGGGCACAGGGCCAGCUGGCGGCACGGCUCCACAGCCCUCACCCCACGGAAAGUCAGGGGAUUUCCAGGCUCUGGGAAAAAACAGGAAGCGGCAGUGGGUGA
RNAcentral lists this long non-coding RNA (1032 nucleotides) under Junco hyemalis (dark-eyed junco). RNAcentral's name for it is "lncRNA (ENSJHYG00000002830.1)". The record is from RNAcentral. Lineage: Eukaryota; Metazoa; Chordata; Aves; Passeriformes; Passerellidae.